UACGUAGGGUGCGAGCGUUACUCGGAAUUACUGGGCGUAAAGCGUGCGCAGGCGGUGAGCUGUGUCCGAUGUGAAAGCCCCGGGCUUAACCUGGGAAUGGCAUUGGAAACUGGCUCGCUGGAGUGUGGCAGAGGGGGGUGGAAUUUCCGGUGUAGCGGUGAAAUGCGUAGAUAUCGGAAGGAACAUCAGUGGCGAAAGCGACUUCCUGGACCAGUACCGACGUUCAGGCACGAAAGCGUGGGGAGCAAACAGG
RNAcentral lists this ribosomal RNA (253 nucleotides) under uncultured bacterium. RNAcentral's name for it is "partial 16S ribosomal RNA". It matches the Rfam family "Bacterial small subunit ribosomal RNA", at positions 524 to 776 of the family's 1533-position model. The record is from RNAcentral.